RNAcentral lists this ribosomal RNA (159 nucleotides) under Neofusicoccum parvum. RNAcentral describes it as "5.8S ribosomal RNA". It matches the Rfam family "5.8S ribosomal RNA". From Rfam's summary of the family: 5.8S ribosomal RNA (5.8S rRNA) is a component of the large subunit of the eukaryotic ribosome. It is transcribed by RNA polymerase I as part of the 45S precursor that also contains 18S and 28S rRNA. RNAcentral also lists the same sequence under 1 other name. The record is from RNAcentral. Lineage: Eukaryota; Fungi; Ascomycota; Dothideomycetes; Botryosphaeriales; Botryosphaeriaceae.
UAAAACUUUCAACAACGGAUCUCUUGGUUCUGGCAUCGAUGAAGAACGCAGCGAAAUGCGAUAAGUAAUGUGAAUUGCAGAAUUCAGUGAAUCAUCGAAUCUUUGAACGCACAUUGCGCCCCUUGGUAUUCCGAGGGGCAUGCCUGUUCGAGCGUCAUU